UCACAUACUCAAAAAUAAUACGCGUAACGAAGAAAAUAAAAUAAAUCGAAGUGUAGAGAGGAAAAUAGCGCCUCCAUUGAAGAGAACGCAUCCUAGUCACUCCGAUGAAGUUCUGGGAUUGGUACUUGAAGAUAGCAAUUGGGUCAGCGAUGGUUGGAGGUUCAAUGGAGCUUUUCAUGAUCAAAACCGGUUUCUACGAUAAAGUAGCAGUUUUGGAGUCAGAGAAGAUGGCUUGGGAGAGUUCACCUGAAGCUCAGGCCAUGAGAGAAGCUCUCAAUCCUUGGCGGGAUCAAGAGAAGAAAGCAAGGAAAAGUACCUAGUUGCGUUUUAGAAUGGACCAGUCCGGUUUGCAUAUCCAAUCCGUACUUAGGCAGAGUUACCUUUCUACUAAUAUUGAGUUUGUUCUGAGGCAAUGUCGUCUAAACCGGUGUUGGAAGAUCAGAAUAUCUUGUUUGCUGUUGAUGAAACUUGAUCCCUGCCUUUUGUUGCCGAUUUUAUUGUUGAAUCCAAUUGAUUGGUUUGAGUUAUUGUUGGUAGAUGAUUUUGUGUGUUUUGGAAAUAAUGUGUAGUUUGUUGGCAUUUCCAUUCUGUCAAUGUAGUGCAGUUUGGAGAUUGCAUUUGUUCCUUAAUAAACUACAUAUAAGUUUCAUCUGUUCA
This is an RNA transcript of Salvia miltiorrhiza (redroot sage), 657 nucleotides long. RefSeq lists it as uncharacterized. The record is from RefSeq and is a predicted model, not a curated record. Lineage: Eukaryota; Viridiplantae; Streptophyta; Magnoliopsida; Lamiales; Lamiaceae. The transcript has 4 exons.